UCCGUAGGUGAACCUGCGGAAGGAUCAUUACAGUAUUCUUUUGCCAGCGCUUAACUGCGCGGCGAAAAACCUUACACACAGUGUCUUUUUGAUACAGAACUCUUGCUUUGGUUUGGCCUAGAGAUAGGUUGGGCCAGAGGUUUAACAAAACACAAUUUAAUUAUUUUUACAGUUAGUCAAAUUUUGAAUUAAUCUUCAAAACUUUCAACAACGGAUCUCUUGGUUCUCGCAUCGAUGAAGAACGCAGCGAAAUGCGAUAAGUAAUAUGAAUUGCAGAUUUUCGUGAAUCAUCGAAUCUUUGAACGCACAUUGCGCCCUCUGGUAUUCCAGAGGGCAUGCCUGUUUGAGCGUCAUUUCUCUCUCAAACCCCCGGGUUUGGUAUUGAGUGAUACUCUUAGACGGACUAGGCGUUUGCUUGAAAAGUAUUGGCAUGGGUAGUACUGGAUAGUGCUGUCGACCUCUCAAUGUAUUAGGUUUAUCCAACUCGUUGAAUGGUGUGGCGGGAUAUUCUGGUAUUGUUGGCCCGGCCUUACAACAACCAAACAAGUUUGACCUCAAAUCAGGUAGGAAUACCCGCUGAACUUAAGCAUAUCAAUAAGCGGAGGA
Molecule: ribosomal RNA, 606 nt
Filed under: Meyerozyma guilliermondii
Lineage: Eukaryota; Fungi; Ascomycota; Pichiomycetes; Serinales; Debaryomycetaceae
Description: eukaryotic LSU rRNA
Rfam family: 5.8S ribosomal RNA (bases 200-353)
Source: RNAcentral